AACCCGGAAAUGGUUCCAAUCAUUUUUCCACCAUACAUCUUUCCCGUAAGGGAUUUUAGAGCUGCUUCAUAUAAGGUCUGUGUUUUGUGUAGGCUUAGCCUGGCGUGACAUUUUGAUAACUACGCAAAUCUCUCUCGGACAAUAUAACUUUUGUUAAUAUAUUCGCCUGUAAUUACCCCCCAAAAUGAAAUGCUAAUUAGCUGCUAAUGUGGCUAUCAAACAGAACUACACAUCCUGUCGCAAGCUUUGACGUAAUCACUCAAAGCCCAGAGUGGGAAAAACCUCCACAUUUCUCAAUGCACAGUAGCAAGUAACCUAGCGAGUAGAUAUUACAGGCUUUUCAGUUUCUCGUGUAAAUAAUUGAUAUUGUGUAUUUCUCGUGUGUAUUCUUAGUUAGCAUUUUUCAAAUGACCUAGCUAGCUACCAUAGCAUUUUAAAAUUACCCUCGCCUUUGUAGCUAACUAGCUAACCUUAGGUCUCUCCGUAAAUCAAAAGCAAGGAUGGUUUUGUGCUAUGUACCAGAUUGGAACCACUACUCUGUAAGUGAGAGGCGUCGCUGGAGCUGUGUGAUAAGUGACAACACUCGGGUCUACAGCAGCCAAUCCCCGGUAGGAAAGAGAAACGGCCCUGUAUUUACCAGAAAAGGAAUCUCCUCCACCAUGGCAGAAGAGGAAGAUCCAGACUGUUGACGUGGAUUGGGUGUGGAAGGUCCACUUGUCAAUGAAUUUGCGUAAUGUUUGUCAUGUUUGUGUAUGGUUCUCAUGACUUUAAGAUUGGGUGUUAAUGAAAUGCAUGUUGUAAGAAAUGUGCUAUGUAAAUAAAGUUUGAUUUAGUUGAUGACAUUACAGUUGUAGAAUAUUUAAUAAACUGACAUUUUCACAUGAGGACAAUGCAGUUUUUCCAUAAACGUUUAAUUGAUAUCUUGGGAUUUUAUCACUUGACAUAUCAAUCAUAUAGUGGGAAGGAUCCUAUAAAUCAAGACUGGGUGAAUGCAUGUACCACUUCGAAUAAAUAAAUACUGUGCCAUUUAAGAUUUGUCUCUGGUCAUGAAAGUACAAUACUGUAUAGCGUGUCAUUGUGUCACACCCUGACCAGUAUAAGGGGUUAUUGGUUAUAGUAGUUUGGUCAGGAUGUGGCAGGGGUUAUUUGUUUUAUGUGGUUCGGGGUUUAUGGAAUAUGUAUUUAUGUAAGAGGGGUGUUUGAUUUAUGUGUUCCGGGGUUUUUGGGUAAUGUUCUUGUUUUGUAUUUCUAUGGUUUUCUAUGUUGUGUAUUUCAUUGUGUUGGCGUUGUAUGGCUCUCAAUCAGGAACAGCUGUACAUCGUUGUUGCUGAUUGAGAGUCA
Molecule: long non-coding RNA, 1341 nt
Filed under: Salmo salar (Atlantic salmon)
Lineage: Eukaryota; Metazoa; Chordata; Actinopteri; Salmoniformes; Salmonidae
Description: lncRNA (ENSSSAG00000112322.1)
Source: RNAcentral